This 9758-nucleotide long non-coding RNA is filed under the name Erythranthe guttata (spotted monkey flower). Its description in RNAcentral is "long non-coding RNA (EGUT_LNC003564)". Lineage: Eukaryota; Viridiplantae; Streptophyta; Magnoliopsida; Lamiales; Phrymaceae. The record is from RNAcentral.
UUUAAUAGAUCGGGUUCCCAAAUCAGAGUACAAAAUUAAAAAUCGAUAUCUUGGCUAGAUAUUUUAGAAAACGAUGACGUGGUAAAAUACGAGUUAAAUAGUCAAGGCACCAACGCUCGUGAUUCCUCGAACUCCACUCCGCCGGUUUCCUAAAUAGCUUGGAGAACCUGAAAAGAUAAUUUGCAUAAAAGCAUGAGCCCAAACACUGGCUCAGUAAGGACAUUAGUCUUAGUCUGACGAACUCACGCCUCUCUCAUCGCAUCUCUCACGACCUAUGGGAAUCCUAAAAUCAUUCGUCUAUGUUCUUUCCAACUAAUUAGAUUAUCUCUAUUCAUCAUCAUAAACCGUGAAAUACAAGCACGUCACACAUAUUCAAGCACAUAAUAACACAUAUACGCACAUAAUAUGGUUUUCUUUCGAAAACUAUUUGAAAAUCAUUUCGGAAAUCUUUCUUGUAAAUUAGUGCAUAAUCUACUAGGAAAUCCGUGUUAGACAUAAAAUCCCUUUCAACGAAAUUAUCCUUUUUAAACAAAACGGAAUUUCUUUUAAAAGAAAAUCAUUUUUCUUCCAAAAUCAUUUUUAUGCGUAGAUGCGUAUGACGGGAUCCCUAUCAAAACCUUAACGUAAGCAUCGGCAAUAGACGUUUAUAUGCUGAGCCCGAUCAUUCGGUGGGAGCUAACCACCCUAUAGUUCUAUAGUAACUGUUGUUGGGAUACCGGCCCCCCGUAUCCCGUGUCUAUUCAACCGUAGCAACGUCACAAUUUUGACCUUUCUAUAGUAGACCAUGCAAUACCAAUUAAUGACUCGAUGAAUGCAGGCAAGUCGAUGAUCUUAAUAGCAACACGAUAAUAAUUCCAAUUAUAUCAUUCAUAUAUUUUGAAGGAGUUAAAUCACAUAAUUCGGAAGUAAUUUCCGAGGAUAUAGUAAGCACAUAUAGAUCAGACAUUAGUAAUAAAGACACAUAUACUUGUACACGUAUACACACAUAGGUACUUAUAUGCAUAUAUAUACCUAUACCUAUACGUAUAUACUCUAAUUUAUAACUAUGGAUUAUAAGUUUCCUCAACACGAAGGGAGUACGCCUAUAACAUCAUAGGUCUAAACUAUCGAUAUACAUAUAAAUAUACUUAUACAUAUACAUACUUAUACCUCACAAGCGUAAAUCACAUAAUUCAAAUACACAUAAUGAAAUUCAUCGCUUCUUAUUUAAAGAAUCAUCGGGAAAUCUAAUUCAUUAUAAGUACUAGCACAUAGUAAGAUCAAAGAACAACUUAGUAUUCUAAUCAUAGAUUAGUCUAAGAAUAUUUCUUAGAUGUAGCUCAAUACUCAUGGGAAACUUCAUCUAUGUUCAAUUAUGUUAAGUUGUGCCUCAAGAGUUUAAACCAUGCUCACAAAGGACCCUUUAAUUCAAGUAGUUUACCUUUUUAGGAAAAUCGGGCAGUUUUGACACUUUUAACUUUAAAAAUACAUAUCUCUUAGGCCAUAACUUCAAAAAUUCUGAAUCUUUAAAAAACUACUCCUGUAUCAGUGGAAAAAAUUCCUUUAAAACAGUUUUCCAAAAUAACCAGUAUCCUAAGAGAAAUAAGUAAAACAGUACAGUAGUAUGGUCACACUUUCAGAAACAGAACCAACCACUUUAAAAUUACCCAAUAAAUCAAACUUUUGUUAAAACACUGCACAUCUUUGUCGAAGACUGGUUUUAUAAGUUAUAAAUCCAUUCCAAGUGGAAUUAAAGAAGUUAACUAGGAAAAACAUCGAUUUUAAAAGCAAAUUCUCAGCUGACUCAAAAACUGUACAGGUUUAGUAAAUAAUUCAUAUCUUAACCAUCUGAAAUCCGAUUGAUGAUUGAAAUAUAUCAAAUUAAAGAGAACAGAAAGAUCUAGUUACCCAUAAACUUUCGUGAUUUUUGGAAAACAGGGCAUCUGUGAAACAUGCAGUAAACUCUGAGACUGAAAACCUGAAAAUUCAUUAGUAAUCUAUAUCUACAUCUUUGAUCAAAACAGAUCUGGCAGUUUAGGCACUAUAACUUCAGAAACUCAUAUCUCCUAAAAAGUAGAUCCAAACCUGAUGAAAUUCGGAACACAUGUUCAUAUCUAAGUCUAGUUUAUAGGGUUAAAACAGUUUAUGAAGAAACUCAUCUAUGUAAGAGAUAUAGUCAAUUUAGUGCAGUAACAUAAGCAGAAAUUCAGAACAGAUCCACUAACUUUAAAAAUACCAAAUAAUUCAUCACUUAAUCCAAAAGUUACCCAAUUUUGUAGAAUAUUCGUUUCAUAAGUACAUAUCAUAUUCGAGUGAAAUCACUUCAAUAAGGGUAGUAUAAAAAGCUAUUUAACACAUAAUUCGUGGAUGACUCCGAAACUGUGCAGAUUCAGAAAACGAUUCAUAACUCACUCAAUACAAAUCCGAUUUAUGCAUAAUUUAUAUCCACAUGAAGCUAACCGAAAGAUAUAGACUACCAUAAAAUUUCAUAAUUUUAUCUUAGGGAUUACCCGAUGAGACAUGCAAUACAAUCAGAAGCUACGAAACUGAAAUUCAAUUAGUGUUCAUCAAGAACUUUAUCUUCUAAAGCCCAAAAUUAAAACUACUAACAUAUAAUUCAUUAAAACCCAUAUAAUUUAUAUUAAUUAGGUUAUUAUUUCAGUAAAGACCAAGGUCCUUACCCAAGAGCAAGAAAUCAAAGAUGAAGGAGUAAGAAAACCCAAGGCUCGGUGGAUAUUCGGCGGGUUUGGCUUGGAUGUUCUUGGAUGGCUUUGGGGCUGAGUUUGAAGGAUGUGAAGGGGCUGUUGCUUGAAGAUAGAAGAUGGAGUUUCUCUUUUCGAGAGGAGGAGAGGAAUUGAAGAGAGAAGAGGAAGGGGCUUUGAUGGGAGCUUCUUGACUCGAAGGGGAAGAAGAGAAUUCUUCUUUGGGGCUGUUUUUGCUCGAUGGAGAGGGAGAGGAGAGGGCCUUUUGGCUGAUGUUUUGGUGUGAAGAGAAUGUGAAGAGGAGGGGUUUAUUUAUAGGGGAGAUGAGGCCCUUAUUUGCAAUAUAAAAGACAUUGGGGUUCUAUUAGCAAUUUGGGAGAACAUACCUUGGGGGCUUCUUAACAAUAUAGAAGAGAAGAGGGGAGUCCUUAGUAAUUAAUCAACUUAGGGAGCAACUCACUUUCCCUCACACACACCACACGGCCAAUACACACACUAAAACAUAUAAUUCAUAUAAAUUCCAUAGGAUACCAAUUAAACUAUAACGAAAACUAAUUUCACAUCAUCUCAAUCCUAGAUUAAUUAUCAAUUAAAGCACAUCAUUAAAAUCCAUGACUAAAGCACAUAAUUCAUUAAAUCACAUAAUUAGAAUCAACUACUCAAUUAAUAAUAAUGUCUACUUCUAAAAAUACUAUAAUGUAUCUAAAUCACAUAAACACAUAGAGAACGUACAAAUUGCUACGCGAUUCAUGAAAUGCAUGUAUAUUCGUAUUUACUAUAUGUUCAAUAUAAUCAUAUGUAAAUGCUUAUGAAAAUGCGGGCUGUUACAAUCUUCCCCCCUUAAAUAAAUUUUGUCCUCAAAAUUUGAAAAGUUUCCGUAAAAGACGAUGAGACCAAGUUACAACAUAGCGUUUCUUGAAUAGGGGUUAACAAUAAUUAGGAAAACGUCUUCCUACCUUUUCAAAAGUUCGCCUUGAUUCCAAAAUAUUUUGUAAAUAAAUAGGAAACAUGCUUCUUGUAAAAAUUCCGGUAAGAGUUUUAGCACUACUAUGAUAGCCUUUAGGGAAAAUAGUAACCGAGUCGAGUUGAAAAUUCUAAUUAUCAUAAAAACAAAACUCAAUUUUGAAAUAUUUUAAAAAUUUCUCUUACCUUCUUUUGAAAUGUUUUGAACACCUCUGGGAUGCAUGAUAUGAAAGCGUUGUAUGAUAUGCAACAAUAAUCUUAUCUAGUUCUUAUAUGCACAUAAGGUUUACAUGAACACAUAGUAUCAUAAACCCAUAAACAUCUAAUAUGCAAGACAUGAUAUAGUUUAAGCUAAUGAAUCCAUUUAUACUACGAACAAGUUAUAAACCAAUCAGUUGUAAAUUUGUAGAUAAUCACAUAGAUUUGUACAAACAUAAAUCAGGAAUAAAUUCACUACCAACUUCAAAGUUAUACAUUUCUAGAAAACUCAUUUCCUAUAAAACAAAAGUUUGCAUGCAUUUUUGAAAAUAUGCAAAUCAAAUCAGUGCGCUUUUUAUGUAUUUCAUGAAUGCACCAUUAAGAAUGCACCUAAGUUUCACACAAGAUACAGAUCAUCCACUUCAAUACAUGGCACCGCAUAUAUCCACAUAGAUUCUACCAAAAAUGUUAGAUGCAACUAUACUCUAAAAUGCACACACAUGAUUCAUAUAGUAAGAAUUUAACUUUCAAAUUUCUACCCAUGCAUAUCUUAUCGAACAAAAAAAUUUUCAAACCCUUUGCUUAAAAGAAAUAUCAAAAUUCAGAAUCCUUCUGAAUCCAAAUAUCAUCAAGCAUUCAUCUGUUUUAGAAAAACAAACUUUCGAAAGUCAUCAUUUGAAAAAUAAUUUCUAUAAUUGACCCAUCCAAAAGAGUCAAUCAAAGUGAUUAACAUGCUAGUAAAUAAUUUCAUUAUGAUGCAUAUAAUAAAUCACUCAGGCAUAUGGCAUGGACUCAAGUAUAUCACAUAAUGCACGAAACUCACUACCAAAGAACACAUUAUUCAUAAAAUUCAAUUUCAAUUCUCAAAAUCUCAAUUAAGUCAUAUAUUAUCCUACCGUUAACUUCGAAUAUCCGAAUUUCGAAAAUCAAAGUAUCGCACAUAGUUGGGACCAUAGAAAUACAGGUACAUGAGUUUUAAGAAAAUUCAAGAUAAGUUUUAUCAUAAAGCUGCGUCUAUUUUGAAACAAAAUAUUUUAUCAACAUCGUGAAUAAUUUAAAACGUGCCUCUUUCAAUCACCAACAAAGUUGAGAGGUUUAUCAAAAAGAACUUCGAGAUCUUAAAAUUAGAAACCGGUCUCAACUAUUUUCGAGAAAACACUUUUAAAGAAGUAUAUACUUAUAAAUUCAAAAUUAUGAAAUAUCAAAGUAUAAUAAUUUACUAAGAAAACUUGACUAUGCACAUAGUUCACAUAAUUUCACAUAGUCAAAAUAACAAAUAUCAAAAUCUAAAGGCAACUAGCUCGAUUAGAUUCUAUAGACACCUAGUUUGGUCCAAAUUAUCAAUUACAUGAAUCGAUGGGAAUCUUCGAAAAUAAUUUAGUCACAAAUAUGCAAUUAUCAAGAAAUCUGAACGUCAUAAAUGCAAAUAGCAUACACAUAUGCAUACAGAGGUAUGAGAUUAAUUAAUCCACACCCGUAGAAAAAUCAUGUAAUUCAUAUAUAUAUGAAUUUAAAUUGCACAUGUACUUAAUUUGUUAACAAAAGUCGAUCAUACUUUGUCACAUAAACUACCAUACAUGUCACAUAAUAUUAAUAGCACACUUAGUCAACUAUUUCAGGAAAUCGAACAUAUAAGAUAGAUUAACCAAGAAAUGGGCAUAUGACAAGAACUAGUGAGAAAUCUAUAGUAUAUCACAUAAUUCUUUACCGAUGAGAUUCACGAAGUUGUAAAGUGACCUUAAAAUAAUUUGAAUUAAACUUCAUCGAGGGACAUCAUGCUUAAUUCUCACAUUCGCAUUGUUCAAGUAUGUUUAAGUAAACCAGGAUUAAUGCGAUCUAACCUUAUAUAUAAGGUACACAUAACUAAUUUAUUUAUACACCCAUUAAUUCAAUUGCUAUACUCCUAGAUCAUCAAGUCCAUUCAAAAUAAGUUAGAGACAACAAUUCAUACCAACCACUUCGUUCAAGUAAAUUCAAGGAAAAAUUCAAGAAAACGAGUUUCUCUUAUCAAGAGAAUUUCUUUUUAAAUUAAAAUCCAACUUAGUGAAAGUUUGAAAGUUUUAUUGAAAAUUCUUACUUGAUUGAAAAAUGGGUUCUAUUCCUAAAACUUCGAAAGUUCAAUCAUUACACAAUCAUCAUGACUUUAGAUCUUCCAAUUAAACAAACGUGCAUAAUCAACAAGCACAAAGGUAGAGCAUAAAUCAAAAAAAAAUAUUUAUCAAUUAAACAAAAUAUCAAAUACUUUCCAAAUUUAUUUUAUGGAAACGAAUAUUUUUCAAUACACUAAAUAAUUCCACAUGCAAAUCUCAAUCAACGAUAUUAUAGCAUGGAAUUUUCAAAGAAGGUUUGAAUCACUUAACCAAUUAUAAAUCACAUAAAACUUAGUUCUAAAUCAGAACGUAAAAUAUCAAACAUUUCGGGGUACUUAUCUCAAUUAUUUGAUCAACAAUAUGGCAUACACCAAAUUACAUAAAACUUCAAAAUCACAUAAAUUAUCUGCACCUCAUUACUCAUAUUACAUAGUGCAAUUAAGAGAUUGUAAAUCUUACUACGAUCAACUCGAGAUAUAGUCAAUGAGUAAAUUUAUAUAAAAUUCUAAGUUCUCUAAUUCAAGUCCUUAUAACUAAGAAUCAUACCUUAUUACUUAGGCCGGGAAUGGGAGGAGGAAUCACAUGUGCCUUGAGCCAUAACGAGGAACCCAGUCUAUUAAACACUGCUUUGAUACCACGUUGUAGCACCCUCAAUGAUUUAAAAGAAAUUUUAGAAAACACGGACUUUAUUAAAGACUUUUGGAACAAAUUUGAACUUUGAGAAAAACCACUUUAAAAUUUUAGAACCAUUUCCCUUUACUUCAAAUCUAACCCACAAUCAGAAAAUAAGAUUUUUCAUAGAGAGUGUACCAUAACAUGAACGGGAUUUUGAAAAUAAUCUCGAGGUGGCGGAAUAAUCCACAUAAAACAUCACCGGGGUUUAGAAAACACUCGUAAGACAGCGGAAGGAAAUAAACUUUAUUUAAGAUACCCCCGUUUAAUAGAUCGGGUUCCCAAAUCAGAGUACAAAAUAAAAAAUCGAUAUCUUGGCUAGAUAUUUUAGAAAACGUUGACGUGGUAAAAUACGAGUUAAAACGCUCGUGAUUCCUCGAACUCCACUCCGCCGGUUUCCUAAAUAGCUUGGAGAACCUGAAAAGAUAAUUUGUAUAAAAGCAUGAGCCCAAACACUGGCUCUGUAAGGACAUUAGUCUUAGUCUGACGAACUCACGCCUCUCUCAUCGCAUCUCUCACGACCUAUGGGAAUCCUAAAAUCAUUCGUCUAUGUUCUUUCCAACUAAUUAGAUUAUCUCUAUUCAUCAUCAUAAACCGUGAAAUACAAGCACGUCACACAUAUUCAAGCACAUAAUAACACAUAUACGCACAUAAUAGGGUUUUGUUUCGAAAACUAUUUGAAAAUCAUUUCGGAAAUCUUUCUUGUAAAUUAGUGCAUAAUCUACUAGGAAAUCCGUGUUAGACAUAAAAUCCCUUUCAACAAAAUUAUCCUUUUUAAACAAAACGGAAUUUCUUUUAAAAGAAAAUCAUUUUUCUUCCAAAAUCAUUUUUAUGCGUAGAUGCGUAUGACGGGAUCCCUAUCAAAACCUUAACGUAAGCAUCGGCAAUAGACGUUUAUAUGCUGAGCCCGAUCAUUCGGUGGGAGCUAACCACCCUAUAGUUCUAUAGUAACUGUUGUUGGGAUACCGGCCCCCCGUAUCCCGUGUCUAUUCAACCGUAGCAACGUCACAAUUUUGACCUUUCUAUAGUAGACCAUGCAAUACCAAUUAAUGACUCGAUGAAUGCACGCAAGUCGAUGAUCUUAAUAGCAACACGAUAAUAAUUCCAAUUAUAUCAUUCAUAUAAUUCGAAGGAGUUAAAUCACAUAAUUCGGAAGUAAUUUCCGAGGAUAUAGUAAGCACAUAUAGAUCAGACAUUAGUAAUAAAGACACAUAUACUUGUACACGUAUACACACAUAGGUACUUAUAUGCAUAUAUAUACCUAUACCUAUACGUAUAUACUCUAAUUUAUAACUAUGGAUUAUAAGUUUCCUCAACCCGAAGGGAGUACGCCUAUAACAUCAUAGGUCUAAACUAUCGAUAUACAUAUAAAUAUACUUAUACAUAUACAUACUUAUACCUCACAAGCGUAAAUCACAUAAUUCAAAAUACACAUAAUGAAAUUCAUCGCUUCUUAUUUAAAGAAUCAUCGGGAAAUCUAAUUCAUUAUAAGUACUAGCACAUAGUAAGAUCAAAGAACAACUUAGUAUUCUAAUCAUAGAUUAGUCUAAGAAUAUUUCUUAGAUGUAGCUCAAUACUCAUGGGAAACUUCAUCUAUGUUCAAUUAUAUUAAGUUGUGCCUCAAGAGUUUAAACCAUGCUCACAAAGGACCCUUUAAUUCAAGUAGUUUACCUUUUUAGGAAAAUCCGGCAGUUUUGACACUUUUAACUUUAAAAAUACAUAUCUCUUAGACCAUAACUUCAAAAAUUCUGAAACUUUAACACAAUACUCCUGUAUCAGUGGCAUAGAUUCCUUUAAAACAGUUUUCCAAAAUAACCAGUAGCCUAAGAGAAAUAAGUAAAACACUACAGUAGUAUGGUCACACUUUCAGAAACAGAACUAACCACUUUAAAAAUACCCAAUAAAUCAAACUUUUGUUAAAACACUGCACAUCUUUGUCGAAGACUGGUUUUAUAAGUUAUAAAUCCAUUCCAAGUGGAAUUAAAGAAGUUAACUAGGAAAAACAUCGAUUUUAAAAGCAAAUCUCAGCUGACUCAAAAACUGUGCAGGUUUAGUAAAUAAUUCAUAUCUUAAUCAUCUGAAAUAUAUCAAAUUAAAGAGAACAGAAAGAUCUAUUUACCCAUAAACUUUCGUGAUUUUUGGAAAACAGGGCAUCUGUGAAACAUGCAGUAAACUCCGAAACUGAAAACCUGAAAAUUCAUUAGUAAUCUAUAUCUACACCUUUGAUCAAAACAGAUCUGGCAGUUUAGGCACUAUAACUUCAGAAAUUCAUAUCUCCUAAACAGUAGAUACAAACCUGAUGACAUUUGGAACACAUGUUCAUAUCUGGGUCGUGUUUAUAGGGUUAAAACAGUUUAUGAAGAAACUCAUCUAUGUAAGAGAUAUAAUCAAUUUAGUGCAGUAACAUAAGCAGAAAUUCAGAACAGAUCCACUAACUUUAAAAAUACCAAAUAAUUCAUCACUUAAUCCAAAAGUUACCCAAUUUUGUAGAAUAUUAGAUUCAUAAGUACAUAAUCAUAUUCGAGUGAAAUCACUUCAAUAAGGGUAGUAUAAAAAGCUAUUUAACACAUAAUUCGUGGAUGACUCCGAAACUGUGCAGAUUCAGAAAACGAUUCAUAACUCACUCAAUACAAAUCCGAUUUAUGCAUAAUUUAUAUCCACAUGAAGCUAACCGAAAGAUCUAGAAUACCAUAAAAUUUCAUAAUUUUAUCUUAGGGAUUACCCGAUGAGACAUGCAAUACAAUCAGAAGCUACGAAACUGAAAUUCAAUUAGUGUUCAUCAAGAACUUUAUCUUCUAAAGCCCAAAAUUAAAACUACUAACAUAUAAUUCAUAAAAACCCAUAUAAUUUAUAUUAAUUAGGUUAUUAUUUCAGUAAAGACCAAGGUCCUUACCCAAGAGCAAGAAAUCGAAGAUGAAGGAGUAAGAAAACCCAAGGCUCGGUGGAUUUUCGGCGGGUUUGGCUUGGAUGUUCUUGGAUGGCUUUGGGGCUGAGUUUGAAGGAUGUGAAGGGGCUGUUGCUUGAAGAUAGAAGAUGGAGUUUCUCUUUUCGAGAGGAGGAGAGGAAUCGAAGAGAGAAGAGGAAGGGGCUUUGAUGGGAGCUUCUUGACUCGAAGGGGAAGAAGAGAAUUCUUCUUUGGGGCUGUUUUUGCUCG